This 376-nucleotide ribosomal RNA is filed under the name uncultured bacterium. Its description in RNAcentral is "bacterial SSU rRNA". It matches the Rfam family "Bacterial small subunit ribosomal RNA", at positions 521 to 896 of the family's 1533-position model. The record is from RNAcentral.
UAAAACGUAGGGGGCAAGCGUUGCCCGGAUUCACUGGGCGUAAAGCGCGUGUAGGCGGUCCGUUAAGUCGGAUGUGAAAUCUCUGGGCUUAACCCAGAAAUCGCACCCGAUACUGGCGGACUUGAGGACGGUAGAGGUAGGUGGAAUUCCGGGUGUACCGGUGAAAUGGACAGAUAUCCGGAGGAACACCAGUGGCGAAGGCGGCCUACUGGGCCGAUCCUGACGCUGAGACGCGAAAGCCAGGGGAGCGAACCGGAUUAGAUACCCGGGUAGUCCUGGCCGUAAACGGUGCGGACUAGGUGUGGGGGGCGUCAUGCCUUCUGUGCCGAAGCUAACGCAUUAAGUCCGCCGCCUGGGGAGUACGGCCGCAAGGCUA